GGCUGGCCGGGGAGAUUUGAAAACUGGAACUAGCCUAGGCUUAAGUGAGAAACUUUUCCUGCAUUUCUCGCUUUGAACUUGCUUACCUUGCCAUGUUCCAUUCUGUUGCCAAGUCUCCUUCAGGCUUCCUUGUCUUGCUGCAGAACCUGCGUGAGAUGGAAUUCUGUGCAAGGACCCUUGUUUGGACGCCAGGAGUUAAAUUAAUGCCUGUCCACUCUGUGAAACCCAGGUCUCUUCUGGAGCUUUCUCUGACCCCGAUUUGCAGAGAUAUGACUUCUUUUCACAGCCCCCGCCCUGAUGAUGAAAUUUAACUACAUGGAAGUUACUGGCAACCCCGAAGAGCGGUUUUGUUGAAGUGUUGAGGUGAUAGGUUCAAUAGAGUGUGGGGGAAAGGAAGGAUGGAAGAGAAUGACCGUAUUUACACCAAGAGGGAAAGGGGAGAUGGGAUGAAUUGGGUGAUUGGAAUUGACAUAUAUACACUACUGAUACUAUGUAUAAAAUAGAUGACCAAUGAGAACCUACUGUAUAGCACAGGAAACUACCCAGUGCUCUGUGAUGACUUAAAUGGGAAGGGAAUAAA
Molecule: long non-coding RNA, 580 nt
Organism: Dama dama (fallow deer)
Lineage: Eukaryota; Metazoa; Chordata; Mammalia; Artiodactyla; Cervidae
Exons: 3
Source: RefSeq, a predicted model, not a curated record